Non-coding RNA from Drosophila bipectinata, 1674 nucleotides. The record is from RefSeq and is a predicted model, not a curated record. NCBI's taxonomy places the organism in Eukaryota, Metazoa, Arthropoda, Insecta, Diptera, Drosophilidae.
UAGUCAUUGGUUUACAGAAAAACAAAAUAAUUUUUAUGAUUGGAAAAGUGUUGAGCUACUUUCUCCCUUUAUUUUCAAGUCCAGCUGUCGUUCUACUUGUUGUUCACAUAAUAUGUAUCCUUCAAAUUUGCAAAUAUGUGAAAAAUACGUUUUAAUAUAAGGGGGCGGAUGGAAAAUUCAGUCUUUAUUUAUUAUGGGCUUGAAGAACAAAAAAAGGACGAUAACAUGAAGUCAUACUUGAAUCCACUCUACAACUUAGGCUUUCAUCCCCACGCGAAACAAUACAAAAAGUCCACGGUGAUAGCGGUCUACUUCGCAGGAUGUGCCUGCUCCAUCCUAUAUAUUUUCGCUGGGAUAUUUAUGCUGGCCGGAAUGCACCUUAAAAACAAACUGAUUUUUAUGAUUGGGAAAGUGUUGAGCUACUUUCUUCCUUUAUUUUCCAGUCCAUCUGUCGUUCUACUUGUUUUUCACCUAUUAUUCAUCUGUAAAAUUUAUAAAUAUGUCAAAAAUACGUUUUAAUAUUCUGCUUUGGGUAUUAUUUCGAUUAUAAAGGCGGCGGAUGGAAAAUUCAGAAAAAUGGACACUUGCAUAUUCAGUAAUCUGCAUUGCCGUGGGUGUUAUCCUUGCUUUAGUCUUUAUUUAUUUUGGGCUUGAAGAACAAAAAAAGGUCGAUUACAUGAAGCCAUACAUGAAUCCUCUAUACGACUUUGGCUUUAAUCCUUACGCGGAACAAUACAAAAAGUCCAAGGCGAUAGCCGCGGUCUGCUUCGCAGGAUGUGCCUGCUCCGUUUUGCAUAUUUUCGCUGGGACAUUUAUGCUGUCCGGAAUGCAGCUUAAAAACGAACCUAUUUUUAUGAUUGGAAAAGUGUUGAGCUACUUUCUCCCUUUAUUUUCCAGUCCAGCUGUCGUUCUACUUGUUGUUCACAUAUUAUGCAUCCUUCAAAUUUGUAAAUAUGUGAAAAAAACGUUUUAAUAUUCUGCCAUUCGUAUAAAUUCGAUAAUAAAGGCGGCGAAUGGAAAAUUCAGAUGUACGUGCAAGUGGCUUAAUAAAUUGAUUAGUUUUGGAGCAAUCGCAUGCAGAUUAUGGGUACUCCUUGGGCCAACAGGUGGCUUAAGCUUGGAGCAGAGUCGAUUAGGAUCCAGAGGUCGUGUCUGGCAAAUUGGAGUAGUCGUAAACGCGAAACGGCAUUAGGGCCUGACAUCCCUCCUCCUCCUCCGAUGUUUUGGGGGGCAACUUGAGCAAAUGCAAAUAUCAUAAUUCUCAACGGCUGUCGCUGGCAGACGGGGCGGAGGAGGGAAGCCGACGGGGAGGAAUAGGCCACAAAUGGCAGCCCCACCUCCAGCCAUGGAUGUGGAAUAUGAAAAGUCGGAGCUGGAGCCAGAGCCAGAGCCGGAGCCGGAUCCACGGAGGCCACCGUUACGAGGGCAGGACAAAUAAAAUUGUUUCGUCACGCCACCGCGAAGGUUGCCAGUUGCUGCUCGAAAUGAUUCUGGUGCACGCAAGACCAAGAGGAACAAGAGCUCCCCUAUAGCCUGCUCCACCUUUACGACCUGCUCAAACAUCAAGCUUAUUUAUUUACUCUAAAAACAAUACCGGAAAAUUAAUAGCAAUUUGCUAGGUUCAUAAAUUUGUCGAAAUAAAUGUCCUUAACUGGGGAGACCCGCUUCACGAAA